RNAcentral lists this long non-coding RNA (1086 nucleotides) under Gallus gallus (chicken). The record is from RNAcentral. Lineage: Eukaryota; Metazoa; Chordata; Aves; Galliformes; Phasianidae.
UCUCGCUCCAGCUCCUCCCGGUGUGCGUUCUUCAUGGCUUCGAUGGCUGAAAUGGUGGCAGCUGUUUCCUCUGCCAGCAGGCGGUCCUUCUCCUCCCGCAGCUUCUCCAGCUCCCGCUGGUGCUGCCUCUGCAGGUCCUCGAUCUUCUUCUGGUGUGUCUCCUCCAUGGCUGCAAAGCCUCUCUCACAUGUUGCCUGCAACACGUAGCCCUCACGGGCGCUCUGCUCCCGGCCCAGUGCCACUUUCAGCUGGUCCUGCAGGUGUCGGUUCUGCUCCAGGAGCUCCAAGGCCUCCUUCUGCUUCUGCUCCAGCUCCUUCUCCAGCAGCGUGGUCAGGUGCUGCUUUGCCAGCCCCUCAUCUCGGUCCUCAGCGUGGGCAAGGUGCAGGGGCGCGAUGGGAAUCUGCUUCUCCUCCCGCAGCGGGGUGGUCUCCACCUGGUGCCACCGCUGCUCGAUCUCCACGUGGACGUUCUGCGGUUUGAUGUCUGCGGGGACGGGCAGGAUCCGAUCCACCUCCAUCCUCAGCGUCUCCUCUGGUCCCGCUCCAUCCACCGUGUCAACCAUCUCAAAGCGUUUGCGCCGCUCCUCGCGCCGCCGGGCCCGCUCCCGCUCCAGCUCACCCGGGUCGGUGUCGGCGGUGCCGCUGUCCCUGGGGAAGGCGGUGGUGCCACUCUUGGAGGACUCGGCGGCGUUGGCGCGCUCCUGAGCCAGGGCUUGCUGGAUGGGGCGGAACUCAGCCCAGUCAAAGGUCUUGGAUCGUCCUUCUCGCCGGCGCUCCCGCGCACGGCUCCGCUUCUGCUCCGGGUCCAGCUCAGUUUGCUCCACAUCCGGCUUCUCGCUGGGCUUUGGGCUGGGCUCAAAGGUUGAGCUUGUUUUGCUUUUCUCCUCUGGCAGGGAGCUCGUUACAUCGGGUGCGGUGGUGGGGCGAACGUGCUUCAUGAUGGUCUGAAUCCAGUUGCGGCGGAUGCCAGACGUCAUGGCAGAGAGGGUGAAUUCCCCUUCCUUUGUGUGGAUCUGGAAGCCAUAGUUCCGCUGAACUGGGUACUCAGUGACAUCAUAGCACGUUGAUAAAUCAAUUUCCCCAUCC